UACGUAGGGACCAAGCGUUGUUCGGUUUUACUGGGCGUAAAGGGCGCGUAGGCGGCGUGGUAAGUCAGCUGUGAAAUCUCCGAGCUUAACUCGGAACGGUCAGCUGAUACUGCUGUGCUAGAGUACAGAAAGGGCAAUCGGAAUUCUUGGUGUAGCGGUGAAAUGCGUAGAUAUCAAGAGGAACACCUGAGGCGAAGGCGGGUUGCUAGGCUGAUACUGACGCUGAGGCGCGAAAGCUAGGGUAGCAAACGGG
RNAcentral lists this ribosomal RNA (253 nucleotides) under uncultured bacterium. Its description in RNAcentral is "partial 16S ribosomal RNA". It matches the Rfam family "Bacterial small subunit ribosomal RNA", at positions 524 to 776 of the family's 1533-position model. The record is from RNAcentral.